UGCUUGUUUCAGCAGCACAUAUACUAAAAUUGCAUGGCCCCUGCUCAAGAAUGACAAGAAAAUUUGUGAAGUGUUCCAUAUU
RNAcentral lists this small nuclear RNA (82 nucleotides) under Cervus elaphus hippelaphus. The record is from RNAcentral. Lineage: Eukaryota; Metazoa; Chordata; Mammalia; Artiodactyla; Cervidae.